This is a non-coding RNA of Poronia punctata, 138 nucleotides long. The record is from the annotation of a GenBank genome assembly. Lineage: Eukaryota; Fungi; Ascomycota; Sordariomycetes; Xylariales; Xylariaceae.
GCCCGGUUAGCUCAAUCGGUAGAGCGUGAGACUCUUAAUCUCAAGGUUGCGGGUAAGUAACAUGUUCAAAAAGUCAAGAGUUGAACCGAUUCAUGAUAAUUAACAGAUUGAAAAUAGGUUCGACCCCCGCAUUGGGCU